GACGAACGCUGGCGGCGUGCCUAAUACAUGCAAGUCGAGCGGAGUUAGUUGAAAGCUUGCUUUCAAUUAACUUAGCGGCGGACGGGUGAGUAACACGUGGGUAACCUGCCCCUUAGACUGGGAUAACAUUCGGAAACGGAUGCUAAUACCGGAUACACAACUUGGUCGCAUGGCCGAGUUGGGAAAGACGGAGCAAUCUGUCACUAAGGGAUGGACCUGCGGCGCAUUAGCUAGUUGGUGAGGUAACGGCUCACCAAGGCGACGAUGCGUAGCCGACCUGAGAGGGUGAUCGGCCACACUGGGACUGAGACACGGCCCAGACUCCUACGGGUGGCAG
This 337-nucleotide ribosomal RNA is filed under the name uncultured Bacillota bacterium. RNAcentral's name for it is "bacterial SSU rRNA". It matches the Rfam family "Bacterial small subunit ribosomal RNA", at positions 28 to 351 of the family's 1533-position model. The record is from RNAcentral. Lineage: Bacteria; Bacillati; Bacillota.